This is a microRNA precursor of Monodelphis domestica (gray short-tailed opossum), 56 nucleotides long. NCBI's taxonomy places the organism in Eukaryota, Metazoa, Chordata, Mammalia, Didelphimorphia, Didelphidae. The record is from Ensembl.
AGAAAGGCAACCUUUCUUCCUUGGGGGUGAGAAAGGAAGAAAGACUACCUUUCUCC